RNAcentral lists this ribosomal RNA (407 nucleotides) under uncultured bacterium. RNAcentral's name for it is "partial 16S ribosomal RNA". It matches the Rfam family "Bacterial small subunit ribosomal RNA", at positions 30 to 526 of the family's 1533-position model. The record is from RNAcentral.
AUUGAACGCUAGCGGGAUGCCUUACACAUGCAAGUCGAACGGAGUGGCGAACGGGUGAGUAAUGUAUCGGAACGUGCCCAGUAGCGGGGGAUAACUACGCGAAAGCGUAGCUAAUACCGCAUACUUUUGGAGCGGCCUAUAUCGGAUUAGCUGUUUGGUGGGGGAACGGCUCACAACGGCGACGAUCCGUAGCUGGUUUGAGAGGACGACCAUCCACACUGUGACUGAGACACGGCCCAGACUCCUACGGGAGGCAGCAGUGGGGAAUUUUGGACAAUGGGCGAAACCCUGAUCCAGCCAUCCCGCGUGUGCGAUGAAGGCCUUCGGGUUGUAAAGCACUUUUGGCAGGAAAGCGGUACCUGCAGAAUAAGCACCGGCUAACUCCGUGCCAGCAGCCGCGGUAAUUC